UACGAAGGGGGCUAGCGUUGCUCGGAAUCACUGGGCGUAAAGCGCACGUAGGCGGGUCGUUAAGUCAGGGGUGAAAUCCUGGAGCUCAACUCCAGAACUGCCUUUGAUACUGGCGAUCUCGAGUUCGGGAGAGGUGAGUGGAACUGCGAGUGUAGAGGUGAAAUUCGUAGAUAUUCGCAAGAACACCAGUGGCGAAGGCGGCUCACUGGCCCGAUACUGACGCUGAGGUGCGAAAGCUAGGGGAGCAAACGGG
This 253-nucleotide ribosomal RNA is filed under the name uncultured bacterium. Its description in RNAcentral is "partial 16S ribosomal RNA". It matches the Rfam family "Bacterial small subunit ribosomal RNA", at positions 524 to 776 of the family's 1533-position model. The record is from RNAcentral.